This 439-nucleotide ribosomal RNA is filed under the name uncultured bacterium. RNAcentral describes it as "partial 16S ribosomal RNA". It matches the Rfam family "Bacterial small subunit ribosomal RNA", at positions 339 to 795 of the family's 1533-position model. The record is from RNAcentral.
CUACGGGAUGCACCAGUGGGGAAUAUUGCACAAUGGAGGAAACUCUGAUGCAGCAACGCCGCGUGGAGGAUGACACUUUUCGGAGCGUAAACUCCUUUUAUAUAGGAAGAUAAUGACGGUACUAUAUGAAUAAGCACCGGCUAACUCCGUGCCAGCAGCCGCGGUAAUACGGAGGGUGCAAGCGUUACUCGGAAUCACUGGGCGUAAAGAGCGUGUAGGCGGGUUAAUAAGUCAGAAGUGAAAUCCUAUGGCUGAACCAUAGAACUGCUUUUGAAACUGUUAACCUAGAGUGUGGGAGAGGUAGAUGGAAUUUCUGGUGUAGGGGUAAAAUCCGUAGAGAUCAGAAGGAAUACCGAUUGCGAAGGCGAUCUACUGGAACAUAACUGACGCUGAGACGCGAAAGCGUGGGGAGCAAACAGGAUUAGAUACCCGGGUAGUC